AUAUCUACGGCAGGACAUGUGAGUAGUAGGGCAGUGGCCAGAGCUAAUAAUAAGCCACCCAUUGCUAGCUCUCAUACGGCAGGACAUGUGAGUAGUAGUGCAGUGGCCAGAGCUAAUAAUAAGCCACCCAUUGCUACCUCUCAUUCUGCACGCUUGUCUCUUGCCUUUGCAGCAUGACAAACAAGUUCCUUCACACUCCCAUGUUUUUAUGUUUUACUUAUUCCAUUCAUCUUGUGAUAUUUUUAUUGGAGAGUUAAAAUAAGUUUAUUUGAUCCUGACUUUCUAAAAGU
Molecule: long non-coding RNA, 290 nt
Filed under: Nicotiana benthamiana
Lineage: Eukaryota; Viridiplantae; Streptophyta; Magnoliopsida; Solanales; Solanaceae
Description: long non-coding RNA (NBEN_LNC021246)
Source: RNAcentral